UAAUCGUCCCUGGCCUGGGGGAAGGGCCGCUAACGCGCCGGGCCGUCGCGUAAAUACCAAUAAUCACGCCGCGUCCCACUUUGCUCUCUCGCCUUGCAACUUAAAAGCCUACUGCCUCGCCAGAUUUGCUCCAAUUGUGCUACAAAUGACAAUUGCGUCCGAAUAUGGGGCCGAGCGCGUCAGGAAAGGUGGCACUGCGAUCUGCUAACAUGUCUCGGAACGACGACAAGAAGCGGCUUUUUAAGGACUCCGAGUUCGGGCAAACAUGAGCAUUUGCCUGCCUUCACGCAUCGGUAGGUGUGGAGGCGCGCGUGGAGAAAGGCACCCGAACUGGCGGCGAGCCCUUCGAACAGCCAGGCCGCCUGCUCCGCCCCUUCGUCUUCGCAUGCGCUUCCAAGCGAUCACCAGCACAAGGGCACCGCUGGCACGAGUACGGGUUGUUGAGGCAUGCUGAGAGCGCCUGGGUCCUGUCGGUGGCCUAGGAAAGGGCAAAAGGGCUGCGGGGUCGGCCGUGAGAGGGAGAGCGUGGCGGAGACGUGUUUCUGACGAGGGCUCGUGUGACGAUUGGUGAGGCCUCCCUCGACAUGCGUUCACUUCCUGUCAGGCAGACGGGCAGGUGUGUGGGAUCCGCGGCAGUGAGCCUGCUGUGUGUGCUGGAGGGUGGUGGUUGUGACCUUGCGGAGCAUUAUGUGAGCCUUGAUGGUUGUCAGUGAUAUCUUCCCCAGCAACUCACGGCCAACAUGACGCUGAACGCCCUAUAACUUGCAGGUCUGGGGACGGCGUCGACGCUGGGUGGCGCCUAGCUAUGGCAGCACGUGCUGGCGCUGCUGCACAAUGGCGUCAAUCGAUUAAACCCGAUGGAGAGGGUGUCUGCAGAACAGCAGCAGACGGUGGCAGCGGCGCUGCGGCUGUGGCGCUCACACUUCCAG
Molecule: long non-coding RNA, 929 nt
Filed under: Chlamydomonas reinhardtii
Lineage: Eukaryota; Viridiplantae; Chlorophyta; Chlorophyceae; Chlamydomonadales; Chlamydomonadaceae
Description: long non-coding RNA (CREI_LNC000450)
Source: RNAcentral